UACGAAGGGGGCUAGCGUUGUUCGGAAUUACUGGGCGUAAAGCGCACGUAGGCGGAUUGUUAAGUCGGGGGUGAAAUCCCGGGGCUCAACCCCGGAACUGCCUUUGAUACUGGCAAUCUAGAGUCCGGAAGAGGUGAGUGGAAUUCCGAGUGUAGAGGUGAAAUUCGUAGAUAUUCGGAGGAACACCAGUGGCGAAGGCGGCUCACUGGUCCGGAACUGACGCUGAGGUGCGAAAGCGUGGGGAGCAAACAGG
Molecule: ribosomal RNA, 253 nt
Filed under: uncultured bacterium
Lineage: Bacteria
Description: partial 16S ribosomal RNA
Rfam family: Bacterial small subunit ribosomal RNA
Source: RNAcentral